RNAcentral lists this unclassified non-coding RNA (393 nucleotides) under soil metagenome. RNAcentral's name for it is "partial contains 5.8S ribosomal RNA, internal transcribed spacer 2, and large subunit ribosomal RNA". The stretch from base 1 to 122 matches the Rfam family "5.8S ribosomal RNA", at positions 35 to 154 of the family's 154-position model. The record is from RNAcentral.
GAUGAAGAACGUAGCGAAAUGCGAUACUUGGUGUGAAUUGCAGAAUCCCGUGAACCAUCGAGUCUUUGAACGCAAGUUGCGCCCGAAGCCACUAGGCCGAGGGCACGCCUGCCUGGGCGUCACACGUCGUUGCCCCCCCCCCAUCUACUCCUUCGGGAUUGCGGGGGGCGGAUGAGGGCCUCCCGUGCGCCUAGCCGCGCGGUUGGCAUAAAUACCAAGUCCUCGGCGACGCACGCCACGACAAUCGGUGGUUGCGAAACCUCGGUUGCCCGUCGUGUGCGUUCGUCGCGCAUCGAGGGCUCGAAAAAAUGCUCGGCUCCGGCUCGGCUUUCAACGCGACCCCAGGUCAGGCGGGGUUACCCGCUGAAUUUAAGCAUAUCAAUAAGCGGAGGA